Molecule: ribosomal RNA, 484 nt
Filed under: uncultured bacterium
Lineage: Bacteria
Description: bacterial SSU rRNA
Rfam family: Bacterial small subunit ribosomal RNA
Source: RNAcentral
AAUCAACGCUGGCGGCGUGCCUCAGACAUGCAAGUCGAACGAUUAAGACUCUCUUCGGAGAGUGUAUAAAGUGGCGCACGGGUGAGUAACACGUAGGUAAUGUACCGAAGGGUGGGGAAUAACUUAGGGAAACUUAAGCUAAUACCGCAUAAUGCAGCGGCUCGACAUCGAGACAGUUGUUAAAGGAGCAAUCCGCCUUUUGAGCAGCCUGCGGCAGAUUAGCUAGUUGGUAAGGUAAUGGCUUACCAAGGCUACGAUCUGUAACCGACCUGAGAGGGUGGUCGGUCACACUGACACUGAAUAACGGGUCAGACUCCUACGGAGGCAGCAGUCGGGAAUUUUGGGGCAAUGGGCGAAAGCCUGACCCAGCAACGCCGCGUGAAGGAUGAAGUAUUUCGGUAUGUAAACUUCGUAAGAAUAGGAAGAAUAAAUGACGGUACUAUUUGUAAGGUCCGGCUAACUACGUGCCAGCAGCCGCGGUAAU